GAUGAACGCUGGCGGCGUGCCUAACACAUGCAAGUCGAGCGAUUCUCUUCGGAGAAGAGCGGCGGACGGGUGAGUAACGCGUGGGUAACCUGCCCUGUACACACGGAUAACAUACCGAAAGGUAUGCUAAUACGGGAUAAUAUAUAAGAGUCGCAUGACUUUUAUAUCAAAGAUUUUUCGGUACAGGAUGGACCCGCGUCUGAUUAGCUUGUUGGCGGGGUAACGGCCCACCAAGGCGACGAUCAGUAGCCGACCUGAGAGGGUGAUCGGCCACAUUGGAACUGAGACACGGUCCAAACUCCUACGGGAGGCAGCAGUGGGGAAUAUUGCACAAUGGGCGCAAGCCUGAUGCAGCAACGCCGCGUGAGCGAUGAAGGCCUUCGGGUCGUAAAGCUCUGUCCUCAAGGAAGAUAAUGACGGUACUGAGAGAAGCCCGWUAUUCUUG
Molecule: ribosomal RNA, 445 nt
Filed under: uncultured bacterium
Lineage: Bacteria
Description: bacterial SSU rRNA
Rfam family: Bacterial small subunit ribosomal RNA
Source: RNAcentral